UUACUUAUUUCUUGUUUAUGAGGAGCGGCCUGACUACCAGGAGACUUAUAGUUCGAGAAUAUGCUAAAAAUUAUUUAUUGUAUUAGAUGUAUGGAUUGAAAAAAUUAUUCAAUUUUACACUAGACGCCUGGACUACUCGGGGGAGUAAAAUUUAAUAAGUUCUUUGCUAUCAUGAUGGUUGAACUCAACUAUGCAUAUAGGAUCGACCUGACUACCAGGGGACUAUUUGACAUAGAGCUAUUUAAGGAAAUUGUAU
RNAcentral lists this long non-coding RNA (256 nucleotides) under Nicotiana benthamiana. Its description in RNAcentral is "long non-coding RNA (NBEN_LNC024005)". The record is from RNAcentral. Lineage: Eukaryota; Viridiplantae; Streptophyta; Magnoliopsida; Solanales; Solanaceae.